AUGGAUAUCUUCAGCCGCUCCGCAGCUGCGCUCUUCACCUCCUCUUCGGGCAUGUAUUCAACAGCUCCGUCCGUGAUGUCGUCCAGCCAGCCCUGGAGGUCCGACUCGAUCUCUCUUGUGAUCGAUUCAUCAGAUGCACGCACGACAAACUUGCAUAUCAUCGUGGUUGUCUCGUCACCCAGAUCAACAUUUCGGCUCACCUCACUUGCACCGAAGAUCAUCAUGCCCACAAACCCACCAAACCAUGUCUUUGCGGCGUAA
RNAcentral lists this ribosomal RNA (261 nucleotides) under Triticum aestivum (bread wheat). RNAcentral's name for it is "partial small subunit ribosomal RNA". Lineage: Eukaryota; Viridiplantae; Streptophyta; Magnoliopsida; Poales; Poaceae. The record is from RNAcentral.